AAAUUGAAGAGUUUGAUCAUGGCUCAGAUUGAACGCUGGCGGCAGGCCUAACACAUGCAAGUCGAACGGUAACAGGAAGCAGCUUGCUGCUUCGCUGACGAGUGGCGGACGGGUGAGUAAUGUCUGGGAAACUGCCUGAUGGAGGGGGAUAACUACUGGAAACGGUGGCUAAUACCGCAUAACGUCGCAAGACCAAAGAGGGGGACCUUCGGGCCUCUUGCCAUCAGAUGUGCCCAGAUGGGAUUAGCUAGUUGGUGAGGUAACGGCUCACCAAGGCGACGAUCCCUAGCUGGUCUGAGAGGAUGACCAGCCACACUGGAACUGAGACACGGUCCAGACUCCUACGGGAGGCAGCAGUGGGGAAUAUUGCACAAUGGGCGCAAGCCUGAUGCAGCCAUGCCGCGUGUAUGAAGAAGGCCUUAGGGUUGUAAAGUACUUUCAGCGGGGAGGAAGGUGUUGUGGUUAAUAACCACAGCAAUUGACGUUACCCGCAGAAGAAGCACCGGCUAACUCCGUGCCAGCAGCCGCGGUAAUACGGAGGGUGCAAGCGUUAAUCGGAAUUACUGGGCGUAAAGCGCACGCAGGCGGUCUGUCAAGUCGGAUGUGAAAUCCCCGGGCUCAACCUGGGAACUGCAUUCGAAACUGGCAGGCUUGAGUCUUGUAGAGGGGGGUAGAAUUCCAGGUGUAGCGGUGAAAUGCGUAGAGAUCUGGAGGAAUACCGGUGGCGAAGGCGGCCCCCUGGACAAAGACUGACGCUCAGGUGCGAAAGCGUGGGGAGCAAACAGGAUUAGAUACCCUGGUAGUCCACGCCGUAAACGAUGUCUACUUGGAGGUUGUGCCCUUGAGGCGUGGCUUCCGGAGCUAACGCGUUAAGUAGACCGCCUGGGGAGUACGGCCGCAAGGUUAAAACUCAAAUGAAUUGACGGGGGCCCGCACAAGCGGUGGAGCAUGUGGUUUAAUUCGAUGCAACGCGAAGAACCUUACCUGGUCUUGACAUCCACAGAACUUUCCAGAGAUGGAUUGGUGCCUUCGGGAACUGUGAGACAGGUGCUGCAUGGCUGUCGUCAGCUCGUGUUGUGAAAUGUUGGGUUAAGUCCCGCAACGAGCGCAACCCUUAUCCUUUGUUGCCAGCGGUUAGGCCGGGAACUCAAAGGAGACUGCCAGUGAUAAACUGGAGGAAGGUGGGGAUGACGUCAAGUCAUCAUGGCCCUUACGACCAGGGCUACACACGUGCUACAAUGGCGCAUACAAAGAGAAGCGACCUCGCGAGAGCAAGCGGACCUCAUAAAGUGCGUCGUAGUCCGGAUUGGAGUCUGCAACUCGACUCCAUGAAGUCGGAAUCGCUAGUAAUCGUGGAUCAGAAUGCCACGGUGAAUACGUUCCCGGGCCUUGUACACACCGCCCGUCACACCAUGGGAGUGGGUUGCAAAAGAAGUAGGUAGCUUAACCUUCGGGAGGGCGCUUACCACUUUGUGAUUCAUGACUGGGGUGAAGUCGUAACAAGGUAACCGUAGGGGAACCUGCGGUUGGAUCACCUCCUUACCUUAAAGAA
RNAcentral lists this ribosomal RNA (1552 nucleotides) under Salmonella enterica subsp. enterica serovar Typhimurium. RNAcentral describes it as "bacterial SSU rRNA". It matches the Rfam family "Bacterial small subunit ribosomal RNA". The record is from RNAcentral. Lineage: Bacteria; Pseudomonadati; Pseudomonadota; Gammaproteobacteria; Enterobacterales; Enterobacteriaceae.